Molecule: ribosomal RNA, 122 nt
Filed under: Mesocricetus auratus (golden hamster)
Lineage: Eukaryota; Metazoa; Chordata; Mammalia; Rodentia; Cricetidae
Source: RNAcentral
GUCUAUGGCCAUACCACCCUGAACGCGUCAGAUCGCGUCUGAUCUUGGAAACUAAGCAAGCAGGGUCUGGCCUGGUUAGUACUUGGAUGGGAAGCACUCAAUUUUUAAAAACAAGCAAGAUA